UUACUCUCAUAAUGUCCAGUACUGGGCUGUGAUCACCCCUGAGGAUAAGUACCCCCAGGACCUUUGAUACCUGGGGGUCUGAGGGGCCC
This 89-nucleotide small nucleolar RNA is filed under the name Vicugna pacos (alpaca). Lineage: Eukaryota; Metazoa; Chordata; Mammalia; Artiodactyla; Camelidae. The record is from RNAcentral.